Molecule: ribosomal RNA, 463 nt
Filed under: Starmerella bacillaris
Lineage: Eukaryota; Fungi; Ascomycota; Dipodascomycetes; Dipodascales; Trichomonascaceae
Description: eukaryotic LSU rRNA
Rfam family: 5.8S ribosomal RNA (bases 156-304)
Source: RNAcentral
UUUCCGUAGGUGAACCUGCGGAAGGAUCAUUUCUGAAGGCUUUUUGCCAAAACCACUGUGAACAGCUUAGACUUCGGUCUUUGCAAUUGCUUGGGUGUCGAAAGGCGCCCAAUCUUUAAAACUUUUAUAUUUGUUCUGAAACAAUGAAAAUUUAAAACUUUCAACAACGGAUCUCUUGGUUCUCGUAUCGAUGAAGAACGCAGCAAAGCGCGAUAGGUAAUGCGAAUUGCAGACGUGAGUCAUUGAAUUUUUGAACGCAUAUUGCGCUAUUAGUUUGUCUAAUAGCAUGCUUGUUGGAGUGAUAAUCUUCCUCUCAACCAUUUUUGGUAUGAGGUCUUGCUCCUUUUAGGAGUUAAAAUCAUGGAAGUGCACACGUUAAUUAACUCUGUGCAGUUAUACACUUUUCAUCCUCCAAUCAAGCAAGGUUACCCGCUGAACUUAAGCAUAUCAAUAAGCGGAGGAA